This 490-nucleotide ribosomal RNA is filed under the name uncultured bacterium. RNAcentral describes it as "bacterial SSU rRNA". It matches the Rfam family "Bacterial small subunit ribosomal RNA", at positions 29 to 514 of the family's 1533-position model. The record is from RNAcentral.
AUUGAACGCUGGCGGAAUGCUUUACACAUGCAAGUCGAGCGGCAGCGCGGGGCAACCUGGCGGCGAGCGGCGAACGGGUGAGUAAUACAUCGGAACAUACCCAGUCGUGGGGGAUAACACAGCGAAAGUUGUGCUAAUACCGCAUACGUCCUGAGGGAGAAAGCGGGGGAUCGCAAGACCUCGCGCGAUUGGAGUGGCCGAUGGCGGAUUAGCUAGUUGGUGAGGUAAAGGCUCACCAAGGCGACGAUCCGUAGCUGGUCUGAGAGGACGACCAGCCACACUGGAACUGAGACACGGUCCAGACUCCUACGGAGGCAGCAGUGGGGAAUUUUGGGACAAUGGGGGCAACCCUGAUCCAGCCAUUCCGCGUGAGUGAAGAAGGCCUUCGGGUUGUAAGACUCUUUCGGUCAGGAACGAAACGGUUUAGCCUAUACGGUGAGCUAAUGACGGUACCUCGAAGAAGAAGCACCGGCUAACUACGUGCCAGCAG